This 429-nucleotide ribosomal RNA is filed under the name uncultured bacterium. RNAcentral's name for it is "bacterial SSU rRNA". It matches the Rfam family "Bacterial small subunit ribosomal RNA", at positions 541 to 968 of the family's 1533-position model. The record is from RNAcentral.
UUGUUCGGAAUCACUGGGCGUAAAGCGUGCGUAGGCUGUUUCGUAAGUCGUGUGUGAAAGGCAGGGGCUCAACCCCUGGAUUGCACAUGAUACUGCGAGACUAGAGUAAUGGAGGGGGAACCGGAAUUCUCGGUGUAGCAGUGAAAUGCGUAGAUAUCGAGAGGAACACUCGUGGCGAAGGCGGGUUCCUGGACAUUAACUGACGCUGAGGCGCGAAGGCCAGGGGAGCGAAAGGGAUUAGAUACCCCUGUAGUCCUGGCAGUAAACGGUGCACGCUUGGUGUGCGGGGAAUCGACCCCCUGCGUGCCGGAGCUAACGCGUUAAGCGUGCCGCCUGGGGAGUACGGUCGCAAGAUUAAAACUCAGAGAAAUUGACGGGGACCCGCACAAGCGGUGGAGUAUGUGGCUUAAUUCGAUGCAACGCGAAGAA